CANUCCGCCUGGGGAGUACGACCGCAAGGUUGAAACUCAAAGGAAUUGACGGGGGCCCGCACAAGCGGUGGAGCAUGUGGUUUAAUUCGAAGCAACGCGAAGANCCUUACCAGGUCUUGACGUCCCGAUGCUAUUCUUAGAGAUAGGAAGUUACUUCGGUACAUCGGAGACAGGUGGUGCAUGGUUGUCGUCAGCUCGUGUCGUGAGAUGUUGGGUUAAGUCCCGCAACGAGCGCAACCCUUAUUGUUAGUUGCCAUCAUUAAGUUGGGCACUCUAGCGAGACUGCCGGUAAUAAACCGGAGGAAGGUGGGGAUGACGUCAAAUCAUCAUGCCCCUUAUGACCUGGGCUACACACGUGCUACAAUGGUCGGUACAACGAGUUGCGAGCCGGUGACGGCAAGCUAAUCUCUGAAAGCCGAUCUCAGUUCGGAUUGGAGGCUGCAACUCGCCUCCAUGAAGUCGGAAUCGCUAGUAAUCGCGGAUCAGCACGCCGCGGUGAAUACGUUCCCGGGCCUUGUACACACCGCCCGUCACACCACGAGAGUUUGUAACACCCGAAGUCGGUGAGGUANCCUUUUAGGG
Molecule: ribosomal RNA, 582 nt
Filed under: uncultured bacterium
Lineage: Bacteria
Description: bacterial SSU rRNA
Rfam family: Bacterial small subunit ribosomal RNA
Source: RNAcentral